AACGCGAAGAACCUUACCUGGGCUCGAACGGCUUUGGAAAACCGUGGAAACACGGUCCUCCCCUUAAAAGGACCGGAGUCGAGGUGCUGCAUGGCUGUCGUCAGCUCGUGUCGUGAGAUGUUGGGUUAAGUCCCGCAACGAGCGCAACCCUUGUCCUGUGUUGCCACUCCCGCAAGGGAAGCACUCUCAGGAGACCGCCAGCGAUAAGCUGGAGGAAGGUGGGGAUGAUGUCAAGUCCUCAUGGCCCUUACGGGCUGGGCUACACACGUGCUACAAUGGCGGUGACAGUGGGAUGCAAUGGGGCAACCCUGCGCAAAUCUCAAAAAGCCGUCUCAGUUCGGAUUGUGCUCUGCAACUCGAGCACAUGAAGUCGGAAUCGCUAGUAAUCGCAGAUCAGCACGCUGCGGUGAAUACGUUCCCGGGCCUUGUACACACCGAGACGAC
Molecule: ribosomal RNA, 444 nt
Filed under: uncultured bacterium
Lineage: Bacteria
Description: bacterial SSU rRNA
Rfam family: Bacterial small subunit ribosomal RNA
Source: RNAcentral